UGGGGAAUAUUGGGCAAUGGAGGGAACUCUGACCCAGCCAUGCCGCGUGCAGGAUGAAGGCGUUAUGCGUUGUAAACUGCUUUUUAUAUAGGAAGAAAUAGUCCUUGCGAGGAAAGUUGACGGUACUAUAUGAAUAAGCACCGGCUAACUCCGUGCCAGCAGCCGCGGUAAUACGGAGGGUGCAAGCGUUGUCCGGAUUUAUUGGGUUUAAAGGGUGCGUAGGCGGUUUAUUAAGUCAGUGGUGAAAGACGGUCGCUCAACGAUUGCAGUGCCAUUGAUACUGGUAGACUUGAGUAUGAUUGAGGUAGCUGGAAUGGAUAGUGUAGCGGUGAAAUGCAUAGAUAUUAUCCAGAACACCAAUUGCGUAGGCAAGUUACUAAGUCAUAACUGACGCUGAGGCACGAAAGUGUGGGUAUCAAACAGGAUUAGAUACCCCCGUAGUCCCUGAGCGGGCUGGCAAGGCGCAU
RNAcentral lists this ribosomal RNA (467 nucleotides) under uncultured bacterium. RNAcentral describes it as "bacterial SSU rRNA". It matches the Rfam family "Bacterial small subunit ribosomal RNA", at positions 355 to 825 of the family's 1533-position model. The record is from RNAcentral.